CACGUUGCCGUGGGCGGGCGCGCCGUAGCCUUCGUCGCGGCCGCCUCCGUACGCCGGAGCGGGGGCGUGGCGCCCGUAGUCACCCCCGCCGUACCCGGCCGGCGCGGGCGCGUGGCGCCCGUAGUCGUCCUCGCGCCCCCCACCGUAGGCCGGGGCGCGGCCGCCGUAGUCGUCCUCGCGCCCCCCACCGUAGGCCGGGGCGCGGCCGCCGUAGUCGUCCUCGCGCCCCCCACCGUAGGCCGGGGCGCGGCCGCCGUAGUCGUCCUCGCGGCCGCCACCGUAGGCGGGGGGCGGGGCGCCGUAGGCGACGUCGUCGGGGCGGCGGCCGUAGGACGGGGGAGGGGCGCCGUAGGGGUCGGGCUCUUGGCGGCCGUAGGGGGCGGGGGGGCGGCGGUCGUCGUCGUCGUCGUCGCGGCGGCCGUGGCC
This 426-nucleotide long non-coding RNA is filed under the name Hordeum vulgare. Its description in RNAcentral is "long non-coding RNA (HVUL_LNC006383)". Lineage: Eukaryota; Viridiplantae; Streptophyta; Magnoliopsida; Poales; Poaceae. The record is from RNAcentral.